UACGUGCUAAAUCAUCCGAAUUAAUCUAUACCGUCCAUCCACGCGCAAGAUUUCUCCACAGCACAAUUUCACCGCCAAGGAUUUCACGCGCGAAGACUUCGCUCCUCCUCCUCCACCCGCGGCUGCGAAAACAUCGCUUCUCCUCUCUCGCUCAUCCUCCUCCCCGCGUGUAUUGAAGUUGCAUCCUCACCGGAGCUCCUCCCUGCUGCAGCCGCUUCGCCGCAUCCUGCUUCUUCCCCACCGCCGCGGCCAUUCUCCUCGCUCGCUCCUCCUUCUCCCCACGUGUACUGAAGCCGCAUCCUCGCCGGAGCAGCCGCUGCUGCCGCUGCCGGAUACUGCUUCUUCCUCACCGCCACGGCCGGAUCCGACCUCGGCCCCUUCUGCCGUCACCGACACCGCCGUGCACUCCGCCGCUGGCCGGCACCGAGGUCGGCCCUCUUCCCCAUUUGCCACUUCAUCAUCAUCAGAUCGCCAAUGUUGACCCUAUUGUUGAAAGCCUAUAGUACGAGUAAGUCCCUCAAAUCCUGUGUCUUUUCUUAAUCUUCUCCGUACGUGUGGAAAUUUUGAUAUCUAUGUCUGAUGAUCUUCGUUCUUAAGCCUUGGCUAUGUUGGCUAAAUAUUCAAGAAACCUAGAUAGUGACUGCUGAUAGAUUCAUGUUAUGUCCUGUCCGAUGCUGAAUCAUGAGGGAUUCUCCAAGAGGACAGGAAGCUGUCCUACAGAACCAGGCAGUCAAGUUGUAGAGAUGGUGAAAAGUAUGGAGAAGCUACAGUCAAGUUGCUUGCUGCUACAUUAUGACUAACAGGAUCAAUGGGUGCUUGCUGAUAAAAGAAUGCAUAUAAAUAACAAAUGGUCCAGCCUCCUACAACUGUCACUGUACAGCAUCAAAAAAGGAGAUUAUGAUAUCUGAAAACUUCAAUCGCAAAGUUUGAAAAAUAGAGUGCAUCAAGUUUGCCAUGGAGAUGGCAACUACCAACCCAUGGUCAUGCGGACAUCAAGAAGCGGACAACAAGAAACAUCAUAGGAGCACCUCACCAUCACAUGGCUAUGAGCAAGAGGGGUCUGCAAGAGUAAUCCACUGAACUUUGUUGAACUUGUAAUUUUCAUCUGCAUGCUCUGGUUCUCUAAUUGCUUUGAAUUACUUAUCAUCCUUCAAUAAACCAGCUGUUGUGAAUUCCCAAAACAAAGUUGGAUGCGCUAGACACCAUCUGAAGUUGGUCAAUGGCAACUCGAGAAAUUGUAUAUAUUUGGAACAUUACCUUCCUCAUUAGCUUUUUAUUUCUUCAAUUUCUUCUAGCAAAUACAGGUAUUAUGAACAACAACUUUUUCAUGAUUCUAACCUCCAAUAAUCUGAAGUUCCCAGUUUGAUUAUAUAAUCUAGGAACCAAAUCAUGAAGCUGGCGACAUUGGUAAGAGGUAAUGGUCUAGAUUAAUCUAUAUUGAGCUACGGUUUGUAUUUUGUUGUUGGGGUAAAUUAUGAUGUCCUUUUAUAAGAGAAAAGUUUAGUUGGUCAAUGGCAGGUUCAUCUCAGCAGUAAGCCAAUAAACAUACCGAUGAACCUGAAAAAAUUCCAUAUAAAAAACAUUGCAGAGCAAUUUUUGGAAUGUUUCACGUCCAAUCUGUAUUCCCCCUCUAUUCUUCUCAUAAAUUAUCUUAUGAUGAGACAUUGGCCUUUUUAUUUAAGAUCAAAUUUAUGAGACUAUUCAAUUGUGGCCUUAUUUUUGCCAUAUAUAUAGGACAGCCAUACGGGGCACCAUGGUGUGUGCGUGUGAUGGUGAUUGUUUUUCUCCAGCUGCAUUAUGCAUCUCUUUUCAAAUCUUAUGAUAGGUGCUUGUGAUGCCAUCCAGCAAAACCACUGGUUAUUUUGCUGGUAUACUGAUAUUAGGCCCAUAAAUGAUUUUUUUUUGCUUUUUUACAUUCUUUGGUGAUGAAGUUCAUAGUUCUUUGUUCACUGUAUUGAAGCUGCAAUCUAUGACAUUAGAAAAAAGGUAUGGUGAUUGUUUCUAUUUUUCAGUAUGUGAUUUUUCCAAUGUUUUUCAAUCUUUCCUAUUUUUCAAUUUGCCUAUUUUUUACACAUCUAUACUCCUUUUGCAUUAUGCAUCUCUCAAUAGAUGAGAGCCUUAUUUUAUUUUCCUUGCAAGAAAUGCUGCUGAUCAAUUUAAUUUUGUGUUAUGCUACUGUAAGAUGGCUUGAUAGGAGUUUUGCAAUACAUACUGCACUACUGUAGGCACUGGCACAGUUUGAGAGCACAACAUAUAGAAUUUCCUUAUUUGUUUUGUAGUUUACAAUGUGAUGUUUAUAUCACAGGCUUGGUGUUUACUGGGUACUUGAUGCUGGAAAACAUUUAUGACUUUAUAUAUACUUCCUCAAACAAUUUAAGAUUCUCUUUCUUGAUUUGUUUCUGCAUGUAAUGGUGAAUUUCCUGAUUACUAAUAACUGUCAUAUGGCUUCAUUUAUUUGUCGGAGCUAACUGGGUUUGAUUAUUUGUGAUCACCUUAAGUGUUGCUGCUUAAGCCAAAGGAAGAGGAAAAACUUUUAUAUAAGCAUUUCAUUUCAUACAGGUUCCCUCAUAUUUUCUAGGUACCAUUGCCACUCUAGAAAAGAUUGGAAGGCCUUCUAGGCAUCAUUGAUACUCCUGUCCAAAAGGUGUUUGACGAAUUUGGAAGGCCUUCGUUGUUUGCUGCAGAUAGACCAAACAUGAUUGCUUGAACAAAAAAUAGAUGGUUGUGGGAGAACAUUCAUCUUUACAUUCUUUAGCUUUCCCUAUUUUCUUAGUAUCUUGUAGUACAUGAAAUUGCAAUUCCUUUUACUUACUAGAAAGUAAAUGUCGUGCAUUUGCAACUUUGUUAUACAACGAAUAUAUCAACUGGGGUUUGUGAGCAAUGUUUUGAAAAUUAGAUUAUAUCAUGUAAGGAUUUCAUAUCUUUUUUACCAAGAUUAUCUUAUGAGUUUUUAGCCUGUGUUUUUUAUUUAAAUCUUGAUGUUUUCAUGCAGUCAAUAUUGACAAGAAUGCCACCAUCUUUUUUUUUUUGCCAUGGAUUUCAUUGUUAUGUUGUAAUCUGGUGUGGAAUAUGGGAAUGGCUACUUUGUACAUUAUGAAUAUACAUGUACCUUUGUUGGCUAGAAGGUAGUGUGAUUCACCAGAAAGGAUUUUAUAGUAAUCAUCCAAAUUGUUAUUUUACUAAGGUGUAUGAAAUUCUAUUUUUA
Non-coding RNA from Oryza sativa Japonica Group (Japanese rice), 3205 nucleotides. NCBI's taxonomy places the organism in Eukaryota, Viridiplantae, Streptophyta, Magnoliopsida, Poales, Poaceae. The record is from RefSeq and is a predicted model, not a curated record.